Long non-coding RNA from Thalassophryne amazonica, 149 nucleotides. RefSeq lists it as uncharacterized. NCBI's taxonomy places the organism in Eukaryota, Metazoa, Chordata, Actinopteri, Batrachoidiformes, Batrachoididae. The transcript has 2 exons. The record is from RefSeq and is a predicted model, not a curated record.
UUUUGUUUUCUCGAGAUCACGGCAUAAUUGUUGUGUUUUCUCGAGAUCUCGAAAUAAUUGCUUUGUUUUCUCGAGAUCUCGAAUUAGUUGUGUUGUUUUCUCGAGAUCCUGAAUUAAUUAUGUCGUUAUCUCGGGAUAACAGGGUGAAU